This is a long non-coding RNA of Rhinopithecus roxellana (golden snub-nosed monkey), 495 nucleotides long. RefSeq lists it as uncharacterized. The transcript has 3 exons. Lineage: Eukaryota; Metazoa; Chordata; Mammalia; Primates; Cercopithecidae. The record is from RefSeq and is a predicted model, not a curated record.
CAGUACCAGUUUGUUAAUGCUUUUAACAGUUAGUAACUCCUUCUACCUACUUCCUAAUCUUUUUUUUUUCUUUUCUUUUCCUAAACAAACAGAAAUCAAGCCUCAGGCUCAAUAGCCUUUGGCAAGCAACAGUAACUAGCCUUAACUAAAUACUUUUAAAAAUUGUUUUCUGAUUGUUUUCAUUGAAUUAAUGAGGUUGCCUGGCAUAUCUUUGUGAUCACUCAUUCAGUCCUUUAAAUUUAUUGAAAUAUUUUAAAACAGCACAUUAACACUACAAAAUUUAAGGAUCCAUCAGUCGCUGAUGCUAAGUGGAUCCCAGCUAAAUGUAGAGUCUCUCCUGGGACACAGGUGUUAUUUCUUGGGUUGAUGUUGCAGAGUGGUGGAGUCGGGGGUCCCAGUGCCAUAUAUCCUGUUCUGGGAGACCUGCAUAACGCAAUGACUUCUGACAUCUGCUCAACUCUUCUGAAACCAAAUCAGUUCUUAUUUUGGAUUCUA